AAAAUGGCGUGGCCACUGCUCACAGUCUCAGGCUGCUACUGUCUUGGCCUCUCACAACUUCAUGUUAAUGUCCAACUCCAACCAAUUACACGUCGUGAAAUCGUACACCCAUCUAUUCAUCAAUGUAUACUUUCUGUCGAUAGAAUUAGAGCAAGACUCCCGCUUUUAAAUGCUCAAACCAAUGGAGACUACGACUCUGAGCAGCUAAUUGAAGAUCUUAGGGUUCCUCAACAGUGGCUACAACCUUCCAAAGCCUUGGAGGAAUCUGAAUGGCUGCAAACUGCUCUUAACAAGUGGUUGGAUGAUGAAUAUUGUCCAGAGGAAACAAAUAUUGAGAUUAGCAG
This 344-nucleotide unclassified non-coding RNA is filed under the name Hevea brasiliensis (rubber tree). The record is from RNAcentral. Lineage: Eukaryota; Viridiplantae; Streptophyta; Magnoliopsida; Malpighiales; Euphorbiaceae.